RNAcentral lists this ribosomal RNA (399 nucleotides) under uncultured bacterium. RNAcentral describes it as "partial 16S ribosomal RNA". It matches the Rfam family "Bacterial small subunit ribosomal RNA", at positions 338 to 754 of the family's 1533-position model. The record is from RNAcentral.
CCUACGGGAGGCAGCAGUGGGGAAUAGUGCACAAUGGGGGAAACCCUGAUGCAGCGACGCCGCGUGAGUGAAGAAGUAUUUCGGUAUGUAAAGCUCUAUCAGCAGGGAAGAAAAUGACGGUACCUGAGAAAGAAGCCCCGGCUAACUACGUGCCAGCAGCCGCGGUAAUACGUAGGGGGCAAGCGUUAUCCGGAUUUACUGGGUGUAAAGGGAGCGUAGACGGCAGCGCAAGUCGGAAGUGAAAUGCCGGGGCUUAACCCCGGAACUGCUUUGGAAACGGUGCAGCUAGAGUGCAGGAGAGGUAAGUGGAAUUCCUAGUGUAGCGGUGACAUGCGUCGAUAUUAGGCGGAACACCAGUGGCGACGGCGGCUUACUGGACUGUAACUGACGUUGAGGCUC